GAUUUCUGGAUGGCUGUGCUAGCCCGCUGGCUUUCGGGUCGGUGAGCGCCGGUACGAGUCAUUCAUCUUUGUAGGGAGCCUGGUCUGCCCUUUUUUGGGUGGGUCUGUGCGAACUACAUCAUUUACUUUGAAAAAAUUAGAGUGUUUAAAGCAGGCUUUUUGCUAUGAAUACAUUAGCAUGGAAUAAUAAUUUAGGACUUUGGCCCUAUUUUGUUGGUUUCUAGGACUGAAGUAAUGAUUGAUAGGGAUAGUUGGGGGUGCUCGAAUUCAGCGGCCAGAGGUGAAAUUCUUGGAUUCGCUGAAGACGAACUCAUGCGAAAGCAUU
This 325-nucleotide ribosomal RNA is filed under the name uncultured Kraken. Its description in RNAcentral is "partial small subunit ribosomal RNA". The stretch from base 104 to 325 matches the Rfam family "Eukaryotic small subunit ribosomal RNA", at positions 733 to 955 of the family's 1831-position model. Lineage: Eukaryota; Cercozoa. The record is from RNAcentral.